Non-coding RNA from Coturnix japonica (Japanese quail), 453 nucleotides. The record is from RefSeq and is a predicted model, not a curated record. NCBI's taxonomy places the organism in Eukaryota, Metazoa, Chordata, Aves, Galliformes, Phasianidae.
UGCAGCUGCUGCAGUGCCGGUACCUGCAAAAGAAGUGGCGGGGGGCCGGGGCGGCCGGGGGCCUGCGGCAGGCAGGUGCCUGCGGGCUGCGGGGGCUCUGCAUGGGGCACGGCCCCAGGCCACAACCCCAUCAGCUGCUGGGGCAGCAGCAUCCCUGCCAGCAGGGGAUGUCCCCAGCAGUGAGCAGGGGCAGCGGGGGGAGCCAUCGGUGGGUGCAGCCCCCCAGGCAGCAGCUGCAGCAGCGGUGAGUGCAGCCCCGCAGUUGGGGGCAGCCCCCCAGGUGGGAGCUGCUGUGCUGCCUGUCCCCAGACACCUGGUACCCCAGGCCAGACAGAGGCCUGAGGCACCAGGUGGGUGGCACUGGGGACAGGGAGGGGUUGGGGUGGUACCGGCAUCGGUCCGCGGAUGGUGGGCUGCAUCCAGGCGGGGUCCGGUGGCGGCACAGUGGCUUGA